Molecule: small nuclear RNA, 102 nt
Organism: Mastomys coucha (southern multimammate mouse)
Lineage: Eukaryota; Metazoa; Chordata; Mammalia; Rodentia; Muridae
Source: RefSeq, a predicted model, not a curated record
CUGGAUUUGGCAGCAGAUAUACUAAAAUCAACAAUAUAGAGAAGAUUAGCAUUUCUCCUGCAUAAGGAUGAUGCACAAAUCCCUGAGUGGUUCCAUAUUAAA